GGAGAUGUGGACUUGGUAAUGGGGAAGGGACUGCAUUCCCGGUCCUGGUAGGAAAGCAGGGCUUUGUCACCCGAGCAAGGAGAAAGCGACACUGCAGGGUACAGAAAACAACAGGUGCUCCCUUGGGGCAUGCCAGGUACUGGGAAGAGCUCACAGCUGCCUUCUGCUGGACCAGAGGAGCUCCUGUCCCAACCAGGCUGGGGGGUCUUGAUCAGAGUCCUAGGAAGGCCUCUCACAUGUGGACCAGCUGUUGAUCUUUGUGUGCACAUUGGAGAGAAUUCUUGUGUAGUGGAUUAAGCUGGCCGGCCAGCCAGCCACCACGAGGGUUGGGCUGGACUCCACCACGUGUCUGAGGCUGUCGCUUCGCUUUGACCCAGGAAAAUCACUACCUUCUCCAGAUCCUGUUCUCUAACAAGGCCUGCUGCUCUGUGUUCCCAUAGAAACCCUGAACUUUGUACACUUUACGGGAUCCCCUUUUUGCUUGAUAUUUGUCCCUAUUGCUCUUUGAGGCAGAG
Ochotona princeps (American pika) is the source of this 515-nucleotide long non-coding RNA. RefSeq lists it as uncharacterized. The record is from RefSeq and is a predicted model, not a curated record. The transcript is spliced from 2 exons. NCBI's taxonomy places the organism in Eukaryota, Metazoa, Chordata, Mammalia, Lagomorpha, Ochotonidae.